Molecule: non-coding RNA, 207 nt
Organism: Vicia faba (fava bean)
Lineage: Eukaryota; Viridiplantae; Streptophyta; Magnoliopsida; Fabales; Fabaceae
Source: the annotation of a GenBank genome assembly
AUGUUGCAAUAUUAUCGAUUGUCGUCGGAGGAAUGCUGUUUCUUGGCGGCGGACGAAGGGUUGGACGGAGGAGUGGAGCCCGACGAGGAGGGGAGUGAUGAUGCACAGAGGAUGACGAUGAUGAUUAAGGUGACGGAGGCUCCACCAGGUUUGAAUGCAAAAGAAAAAAUUCAAUUUCGAGUUGAUACAGUCCUGAUUUUGUAUUGA